UGAGGAAUUUUGCGCAAUGGGGGGAACCCUGACGCAGCAACGCCGCGUGAGUGAAGAAGGCCUUCGGGUUGUAAAGCUCUGUCAGAGCUGAAGAAACUACUUCGGGUAAAUAGCCCGUUGUACUGACGGUAAGCUCAGAGGAAGCACCGGCUAACUCCGUGCCAGCAGCCGCGGUAAUACGGAGGGUGCAAGCGUUGUUCGGAUUUAUUGGGCGUAAAGAGCGUGUAGGCGGUUUUGCUAGUCAGGUGUGAAAUCCCGGGGCUUAACCCCGGAACUGCGCCUGAAACUGCAGGACUUGAGUACGGGAGAGGUAGGUGGAAUUCCUGGUGUAGAGGUGAAAUUCGUAGAUAUCAGGAGGAACACCCGUGGCGAAAGCGACCUACUGGACCGAUACUGACGCUGAGACGCGAAAGCGUGGGGAGCAAACAGGAUUAGAUACCCUGGUAGUCCACGCCGUAAACGUUGGGCACUAGGUGUUGCGGGUGUUGACCCCUGCAGUGCCGAAGCAAACGCAUUAAGUGCCCCGCCUGGGGAGUACGGCCGCAAGGCUA
Molecule: ribosomal RNA, 551 nt
Filed under: uncultured bacterium
Lineage: Bacteria
Description: bacterial SSU rRNA
Rfam family: Bacterial small subunit ribosomal RNA
Source: RNAcentral